This 468-nucleotide ribosomal RNA is filed under the name uncultured bacterium. Its description in RNAcentral is "partial 16S ribosomal RNA". It matches the Rfam family "Bacterial small subunit ribosomal RNA", at positions 28 to 507 of the family's 1533-position model. The record is from RNAcentral.
GACGAACGCUGGCGGCGUGCUUAACACAUGCAAGUCGAACGGAAAGGCCCUGCUUUUGUGGGGUGCUCGAGUGGCGAACGGGUGAGUAACACGUGAGUAACCUGCCCUUGACUUUGGGAUAACUUCAGGAAACUGGGGCUAAUACCGGAUAGGAGCUCCUGCUGCAUGGUGGGGGUUGGAAAGUUUCGGCGGUUGGGGAUGGACUCGCGGCUUAUCAGCUUGUUGGUGGGGUAGUGGCUUACCAAGGCUUUGACGGGUAGCCGGCCUGAGAGGGUGACCGGCCACAUUGGGACUGAGAGACGGCCCAGACUCCUACGGGAGGCAGCAGUGGUGAAUAUUGCACAAUGGGCGGAAGCCUGAUGCAGCAACGCCGCGUGCGGGAUGACGGCCUUCGGGUUGUAAACCGCUUUCGCCUGUGACGAAGCGUGAGUGACGGUAAUGGGUAAAGAAGCACCGGCUAACUACGUG